UUCCGGUUGAUCCUGCCGGACCCCACUGCUAUCGGGAUAGGACUAAGACAUGCUAGUCGUGUGCCUCAGCCAAAACGAGGCACGGCGCACAGCUCAGUAACACGUGGCUAACCUGCCCUUAGGACGAGAAUAACCCCGGGAAACUGGGGCUAAUGCUCGAUAGGUGAAGAACUCUGGAAUGAGUCUUCACUUAAAAGAGUCUGCGUUAUGCUCGUAGAUUUCGCUUAAGGAUGGGGCCGCGACCGAUCAGGUUGUUGGUGAGGUAAUGGCUCACCAAGCCUUUUACCGGUGCGGGCCGUGAGAGCGGGAGCCCGGAGAUGGGCACUGAGACAAGGGCCCAGGCCCUACGGGGCGCAGCAGUCGCGAAAACUUUGCAAUACACGAAAGUGUGACAGGGCUAUCCCGAGUGCCAUCCGCUGAGGAAGGCCUUUACCCAGUCUAGAACGCUGGGGGAAUAAGGAGAGGGCAAGUCUGGUGUCAGCCGCCGCGGUAAUACCAGCUCUCCGAGUGGUAUGGAUGUUUAUUGGGCCUAAAGCAUCCGUAGCUGGCUAAGUUAGUCCCCUGUUAAAUCCAACGAAUUAAUCGUUGGAUCGCGGGGGAUACUGCUUGGCU
RNAcentral lists this ribosomal RNA (612 nucleotides) under uncultured archaeon. Its description in RNAcentral is "bacterial SSU rRNA". It matches the Rfam family "Archaeal small subunit ribosomal RNA", at positions 1 to 593 of the family's 1478-position model. The record is from RNAcentral.